This 1579-nucleotide long non-coding RNA is filed under the name Mus musculus (house mouse). RNAcentral's name for it is "long non-coding RNA chr2:22917154-22918733". Lineage: Eukaryota; Metazoa; Chordata; Mammalia; Rodentia; Muridae. The record is from RNAcentral.
AGUCUUGAGGCUGAGGCUGGAGGAUUGCCAUAAUUCCAAGGCUAGCUAAGGCUGUGUAUGUUAGGGGUGCAGGAACGAAACUGUCAAAGCAGAGGCUCUAUUGGGGGACGUUUAUAUCAUGAAUAAGAGAAAGAAAACAGCAGAGGCAUUUGGAAGAGUUCAGAACAGAGAGAAAAAGAAGUAGUCUGUAUUUUGAAAUGUAUAACAGGUACUUGUGAUUAGGGACUAUAGGUGCCUAGAGUCUAUCAGGGGCUUUGACAUGAAGCCACGGGUACAUGUCAGUGGAGCUAUAUGUCCAUUCUGAUGUUCCUUCUGCCAGAGGCAAGGGAAAUGACUUCCUUUGGGGAAGGAAAAUCUGUUUCACAGGUUCCUGAGGGAUGCUAGACUUUUAUCUAACCACCAGAAAUCCUACUAUACUCUAGCUUUAGCUCAUUUCUGACAUAUGAAUUGCCUGAGACCUUACACAUAGUUUUAAAAAAAAAAAAACUAUAUAAAAAAAGGAACAAUCCAUCCUCAGGAGCUACUAGUAUGCAAGAGAAGUUCACAAGUUUGCUGCUGCAGUUUAGAAAUGCUAAAUGCGCAUUCUCUAGGCACAUAGGAGCAGCUCCGCCUAGGAACCAGUUCACACAGUGGUGUAAUCGUAGGGACCUGUGUCACCAGGGUAAGGCAUCAUUACUACUCUGCUUAAGCAGCCAGAGAUAAUGUGUGUGCUGAGGAGCUCCUGUGCUUUUCAGUGAUUAUCAAGAAAACAGGGCCUAUGAGGUACCUGAUCACCUGGGUUCAGUCCCUAGCACCCAAGUGAUGGGAAGCCAUAUGCAGAGACACCUGUACACGUUAAGUAAAUGCAAUAAAAAAAUUAACAAGUAACCAGUAGACAUGUAUUUAAACUUAGCUCAAUCCUGAUUAAAAAUGAAAUAGUCUAGGACUAAAACUUAGUGGUAGAGCAUAGCUUACCAAGCAUAAAUUCCUAGGUUCAAUCUCUGGUAUUACCUUCCCCUGCCCCCAAGAAAACUCCAAAUUUUCUUUUUAAAGAGGGAGAAAAGGAGAGAGAAAGAAGGUAAAGUGAAAAAAAAAAAAAAAUGAAAGAAGUGUUGUGUGCUGACCACACCGAGGUGUGCUAGCAGUGCCCCAGAGCUGCCUACUUGGAUAACAGCAAAAUCUCAGUGCGAGUGCUCUGAAUACCAGCUCUGCAUUUAAGUGACCAUGGAUGGAAAUACUCCAGAGGGUUAGGCAUUUAAAACGGCUAUUUUUAUAUGCUCUUGGUAUUUAAGAUGCAGACAUAUGACCAAAGACAUUCAUUCAAAGGAAAUUAGGCAUGCCAAAGAUGGGAAGUAAGAAUUUGGAGAUAAAGAUUAUUACAGAACUAAUGGGAUUCCAUAGUGCAUUGAGAAUUUAAAGGAAAUUUAUCAGACUUUAUUUAGUUUACUAAAGACACCAUUUUUUUCUUACUAAGCCUCCCCACAGCUUAUAUCUACAUUCUAUGUUUUUGGCCAAAAAAAAUUUAAAAUCCUCAGAAAGGGCUGGCUAGAGAAAUUGCUUUGUGUCUUUAAAUGAUAUUAAAAUAGAAUUGAUGUUAUUU